AAGUUGUAAGUAUCAUUAACUUGCCUCCAUGUCGUGAUCCAAUGUAAAAUGGAACUAAAUCCCUUGAGAUCAAUUUUUGAAAAAAAUUUGGGGAGAAAUCGCAUUUAAUGAAGUCCUGUUAUUGAAACGCUUCGUCACCCUUUUCUGGCACGUGCAAUGACGAGACCAACUAUGGUAUGACGUAGUUUAUAGAGGGUUUGAGUGCACUUAAU
Molecule: long non-coding RNA, 212 nt
Filed under: Lathyrus oleraceus (garden pea)
Lineage: Eukaryota; Viridiplantae; Streptophyta; Magnoliopsida; Fabales; Fabaceae
Description: Pisum sativum (pea) long non-coding RNA (PSAT_LNC018398)
Source: RNAcentral